Molecule: ribosomal RNA, 253 nt
Filed under: uncultured bacterium
Lineage: Bacteria
Description: partial 16S ribosomal RNA
Rfam family: Bacterial small subunit ribosomal RNA
Source: RNAcentral
UACGUAGGGUGCGAGCGUUGUCCGGAAUUACUGGGCGUAAAGAGCUCGUAGGUGGUUUGUCGCGUUGUUCGUGAAAACCUGAGGCUUAACCUUGGGCGUGCGGGCGAUACGGGCAGACUGGAGGUAUGCAGGGGAGAACGGAAUUCCUGGUGUAGCGGUGAAAUGCGCAGAUAUCAGGAGGAACACCGGUGGCGAAGGCGGUUCUCUGGGCAUGACCUGACGCUGAGGAGCGAAAGUGUGGGGAGCGAACAGG